Long non-coding RNA from Neofelis nebulosa (Clouded leopard), 1407 nucleotides. RefSeq lists it as uncharacterized. NCBI's taxonomy places the organism in Eukaryota, Metazoa, Chordata, Mammalia, Carnivora, Felidae. The transcript has 4 exons. The record is from RefSeq and is a predicted model, not a curated record.
CCCCGCCCAGGUCCUGUCUGGCCCAAUAGACAAGAGACUGCGAGUCCGGCGACCGGGCUAAGCCAAUGAGCGCCGGCGGGGCGGGGAGAGCGGUGGCCGGCGUGUCUGUGGCAGAGGCUAGGGUACGGGUAGGUUUUCUGUGUCUGUUGCUGGCAGUACGGACUGUUCCGUCUCACAACGACUGGGUUUCUUCCGUGUUGCUCUACUUUCUGUGCAGAGUUCCUCCGCUCCAACCAAGCCCCUUUUUCGUUCAACCUACAGAAUCCCCCUACCAGAUGGGAUCAAGGGAGAGCAGUAUUUAGAUUGCAAAAUGGGGGAAUUGCGGCUGUCUCAGGGUAAUUUGGCUGUCGCUUCUUCACAAUAAAGGUCCUGUUCAAAAUAGAGAUUUGCUGUUGUCCAUCAAUUCAAAUUCACUUGGAAGGACAUGUGUCUUGAUUGUUGCUUUUUAAUCUCUUCAUUUCAAAUUGCUGCUCCUGGAUCCCCCUGUGACCAUGUCUGGCCCUUUAAAAUGAGAACUUAUAUACAUAAAAGGUCAUCUGCCUGAAUAAAUUACUGUAAAGAAAAGCCAAAGGAAAAUACUCUUGCCACGUAACUGGACACACAAAUAAAUAUCUUGUUCAAAAGGAAUUAUUUUUUUCUGCUCAUAGGCUCUGAGCCCAUUACCAUAGCAACCACAACUUGUGUUGUCUAACUGGAUGUGAAUUUUAUACACUGUUAUUUGAAAUGUUAAGGCAGUAAGUGAAGAUAAAGUGCAAUUUCUAUAAUAUUUGGAAGGACUUGUUUAUCUCAAAAAUCUUGUAAAGUUUCAUUGUGCAGCCUACUCAUUUGUUUAAUGAAACAGUUUAUUCAACACUGACCAUCGGCACAGCGUGUGCUAAGCAUGUUAGAGAAGUGAAAAGCAUAAAGAACACUUAACCUGGAGGAACUUCUCUAAUAAAAUCAGCUUGUCAUGGGUAAACAGAAUGCCUGAAAGAACAGUUUUUUCAUAGGGAGUUAUCUAAUUUUAGAACAAUCUGAUCAUCAUAAUUACAGUAGUCUAUUAGGACCUGUAAGUAAGACAGCUAGAGGCUUGUUACAGCUGGUCAGAUUGCCCACAAGUAUUCAAAUACCUAUUGUAACCCCUACAGCAGGUACUUUUCCUUUUGGUCUUACAAAUGUGUUUGUAGCUACUCUCUGGAGAGGUGAGUGUUUCCUUCAUUGGAAGCUGAACACUUCUUGGCAGCUGGUACUGGCCUGAGGAAGCUGAAAAUGCCCACUGAUGAACAUGGAAGAAAAGUGUGAUGGUUCACCUGUUUCAGGUUGCUGAGAAAAUGGCUGUCCUGGCUGUGCUGCCACGGGCUGAGUGAUCACUGAGAGCGAGGACACAAAGGCCACAUGAUGAACAGGAAAUGCAAACCUUUCAACUGG